UGGCUGCAGUCGAGAGUCUUCCACAAUGGGCGAAAGCCUGAUGGAGCGACGCCGCGUGCAGGAUGAAGUUCUUCGGGAUGUAAACUGCUUUUCUUCGGGAGAAAAUUAUUGAUAGUACCGGAGGAAUAAGGGGUUGCUAAACUCGUGCCAGCAGCAGCGGUAAUACGAGUACCCCGAGCGUUGUCCGGAAUUACUGGGCGUAAAGGGUGUGUAGGGGGUUAUGUUAGUCCUAUUUUAAAUAUCCCGGCUUAACCGGGAGAGUGAAUAGGAAACGGCAUGACUUGGAGAGUGUGAGAGGUAUGCGGAACUCACGGUGUAGGGGUGAAAUCCGUUGAUAUCGUGGGGAACACCAAAAGCGAAGGCAGCAUACUGGCGCAUUUCUGACCCUGAAACACGAAAGCGUGGGGAUCGAAAAGGAUUAGAUACCCCGGUAGUC
This 436-nucleotide ribosomal RNA is filed under the name uncultured microorganism. RNAcentral's name for it is "bacterial SSU rRNA". It matches the Rfam family "Bacterial small subunit ribosomal RNA", at positions 346 to 795 of the family's 1533-position model. The record is from RNAcentral.